CGGGAUCCGAAAAGGCUGUGCUUCUGCCUCGGUCUGUGCUUCUGGAGGUUUUUUUUCUUUUAACUAUGGCUCCCAGUCUAACUUCAGAAACACCACGUGCUGCGACACAGACGACUGCAACGCUCUGGACCCGUCCCUGCCCCCUGCUGGCUCUCUGCAGUGUUACGGCUGUGACCCAUACACAGAAGAAUGUUCUGCAAAUGUGACCUGCAACACCCUGGAGACCUGCUCCUCUGUCUCUGACGGGACCUACAGUUUUUACGGAUGUGUCUCUGAGAAUCUGUGUGACAACCUCACCCUCUCCCAAAGAUACUUUUACACCAGAAAUCCAUUCUCCUGCUGCAGCACAAGCCACUGCAACGUCCCUCAGUCCCUGCUCAUAUCCACAGACACGCCGCCAGUCACCACAGAGGCCCCGCCCUCCUCAGACUCGAAGGAGGACCAGGAUUUUUCAGUGUUUUCAGGAGCUGUGCAGGUUCUGUCUCCAGCUCUGCUCCUGUCUCUGCUGCUGCCCUGUGUUCACAUGUUUAACUUUAUUGUGUAAGAUUCUAUGGGUGGGGAUAGGAGGAAGUUGAAAAUGGAAAUUUUCUGAGCUCUCAAGCCUCAAAAGAAUCAGAAUACAACUGAGUAAGAUAAUGAGAAAACACUGUUCUAACAUGUUCAAAGCUCAUAUGUUGAUUUAGCAGAAUGUGCCUUCUUUAUUAACAAUAGUGGUUUUCACAGCAGGGUUUUGUUCUGGGUGUGUGGAGAGUCAUUACGUCUUUAAUUAUUUGUAUUGCAUGUUUGUGUAUCUUUGAGCUCUUUGGUUUUAAAAUGUAAAGUGUGUGACAAAUAAAAGAUAUUUCUACUG
Molecule: long non-coding RNA, 850 nt
Organism: Periophthalmus magnuspinnatus
Lineage: Eukaryota; Metazoa; Chordata; Actinopteri; Gobiiformes; Gobiidae
Exons: 3
Source: RefSeq, a predicted model, not a curated record